CACCCCCCGCAGAUCAGUACCGAACCAUCCUCAUCUACUUCCCGCACCCCUCCUCUCCUCCCCCCACAGCAGCCAUGGAUGAACAAGACUGAAGAUAGCAGAAACCAAAAUUGGGGAAACCAGAGGAAGAAGACAAAAAUUCUAGAAGAAAUCAUGACGGGCAUUGGAGGCUCUUACCAGGCAAAUGAAGAGAUAUAUGCAGGCGACUACAUUGGUACUCACGUACGAUCCCGCUUGGAAUAAUCUGAUUGAUGACAGAAACAAAGUGAAAACUUACUUGUAUGUUUUGAUUGUAGCCUGUGCGUUCCCAGUACCCUAGAAUCGUGUUUGACCCGUGGCUUUCUCAAAUGCAAGGGAACGGAGCUAAUUUUCUGCAUAUGAUUCCACCUUACUCAUUCGUCUAUCCGGUCCAUCAUUUUGGAACAUCAGCAAAUCCUCUGGCUGCUGUGAGUAACAAUUCAAUUCCGAUGACUGGACAACAUGCUGCCCCAUUUGUCCAGUAGAAAGAAGAUGCAUGGUGUUGUGUCAAGGCUUUGGCAUGAACAUGACAUACACACAAAUGCUAUUUGCUGCUGAAUUAGAGGCUCCUUUAUUUGGUUCACCACACACAGAUCGCUAUCUUGUUUGUGCUGAGAAUGAGACGUUCAUGGUAACUAGGCGCAACACAAGGUUAAGUGACCAAGUAGACAUGGACAUCCCUGGAUCAAGCAACUACCUUGAACAAGAUGAUACAAGCUACUGGGACAACAACAUGAUAGAUUCUCGGGAGGCCAAUUUGUCAUUGCAAGAUAAAAUAUGGAAUGAUGGCAUGCCAGCUGCUGGUGCAGACCUCUUGUGAGGUCUUGACAUUUGUCCUGGAGAGAAUCCAAGUGAUGACGACGCAUGCAGUGAAGAUUCAGACACUGAUCCAACAACCUUUGUCAAUGUGGUUGUUGUUACUGAAGAAGAUGUUGAUCAAGUAGUUGUUGCACAUGAUGAUGAACUGAAUGUGAAUGGUGAUGAUGAGCAAUUGUCACAAGAUGAUAUCAAUAACUUUUUGGAGAAUUAUUCUGCUCUUGCAGCUUAGACUUGUAGCCAGGAGGUUCGCAACCAUCAUGUGCCUCAAAUGGGCAUGGACUUUGAAACGUCAAAAGCAUCACAUACAUUCUACAACGACUACUCUUGGUUGUGUGGUUUUGCUGCACGAAAAGCAUCAAACUACUGUGGGCAGACCAGCACAGGAGGUGGUGAGUCUUGAUGUACUUUUAGAUGCAACCGGGCUGGAAAGGUCCUUGAUGAAGAUGAGCAGGAGGCUAGGAGGAUAAAAAGUAAAGAGCGGUGGCAAGAGCGGACUAGAAAGCUUGCACCCGAGACAAGGAAGAGGUGAAGGAACAUUAUUGAUGUCACUGGUUGGCAAACUGAACUUGUAGUCAGCAAAAAAAAAGGGAGAUGGUUUAUCACGGACAUAAAUCUGGAGCACAACCAUGACCUGAGUCCACCGGACGACUCAAAGUUUUUGAGGUCCCAUAAACAAAUGAUAGAUGAGGAGAAGUUUUUAGUGAGAACAUUGAACUCAAUCAAAAUACCAACAAGAAAAAUUAUGGACAUUCUAUCAUUUUUACGACAAGGUCCGCUUCCAUACACAAAACAACAUGUGACCAAUGUGAGGGAAUCGAUGAGAAGAGAGAAUGAUAGCAAUGACAUGAUGCAGUUGCUGGACUACUUUAGGGGCAGGCAAGCGGAAGAUUCGAGAUACUUCUACAAGUUUAAGGUUCAUCCGAAAGACCCAAGCAAAGUCCUCUGCAUUUACUGGGCUGAUGGAUACUCAAGGAAAGUGUACAAUCUGUAUGGAGACAGCCUAAGUUUCGACACAACCUACAAAACCAACAAAUACAACCUACCCUUUGCCCCUUUCGUUGGUGUGUCCGGACAUGGUCAAAACUGCUUGUUUGCAUGUGCUAUCAUUCAAGAUUAAACGACUGACACUUUCA
This is a non-coding RNA of Aegilops tauschii subsp. strangulata, 1970 nucleotides long. The record is from RefSeq and is a predicted model, not a curated record. NCBI's taxonomy places the organism in Eukaryota, Viridiplantae, Streptophyta, Magnoliopsida, Poales, Poaceae.